GAGUUGAUGAAGUCUUGGAGGUCUUGGGAGUAAAGUAAGUGUGAUUUACAUAUUUGGAUAUGAAUUGUAAUGGCCAGAGCAUGGCUGUGGUAGAUAAUGUCUAGAGAUGGCCACCAUUAUUUUUUUUUUCUCCUCUAUUCGCACAUAGUACUUCUCCUGUACUCUUGAAACUGGGAUGAAAUUAGCAACUUUGUUAACCAAUAUAAUGCCACAGAAGUGACUUUCGAGACUUGCAAGGUUAUAUCCUAAGAAGUCUUGUAUCUUCUUUCUGGAUCACUUGGAAUGCUUGCCAUGGGAACCAAGCCACUGGUUUAUGAGAAGUGCAAGUCAAAUGGAGAAACCAUGUGUUGGCAAGCUAGUCUGCAUCCUCAGAUUCAGAGCAACCCGAGAAGGUUGAAAGUUUUCUUGGAAUCAUGGAAGGUCAAGCUGAAAGGAUGCUUUCAAGUUAUUUAAAUCCACAUGUGAAACGUGGAGAGGGUGAGUAACAUGUUUUACAUUAUACAUCAAGUAGGCAUAAGGACUAGGAUCUGUGUCUCCUCAUCCGUGGACCGGUGCUCUCUCUCGUCACCAUUUUGCUACUUCUUACUUUAUGAUUUCUGUCAUCCUUAAGGCUUCCAGUGUGAUCCAUUCCACAAGGUAAUUUUAGCUUAAUAUCCCAUGGGAAGUGUGAUGCUUUCCCCCUUGCACCUUAGUUUUUGCUGGGAAAGCCUAGGGAAUACGGAAGUCAAGUAGGCUGCCUCAUGAUCCCAUCAUUGGACCCUGAGUUUAACUUUUCCACUUGACUCAUUUGGUAUUUUUCACAAUAACUAUUUUUUAUGAGAUGAUUCCUUAUUUUGUCUUAUUUUCCAUGCUUAAAUGUGCCAAUCCUUGUUCAGAUGCAUACACUGGAAAACAACCUAGGAAACAGCUUAGGAAAACAACAUAAUUUCUGCGCUGCUUGUUAGUUUCAUUGUUUUUUAUAAAACAUAUGGAUAUUUCUUAUAAAUAUAUUUGUAUGCAUCUAGUUCAGAGGGACAAUAGAAUAUUUAUAGUGAUUUUUAUGCCAUUUCUUUAUUUUCAACAUCUAAAACUACAUUUUAUGAUUAUUUUUAUCUACUUUUCUUUUUCCUCUAGCUCUUUAAGACAUUAAUAGUUGAUUUUGUACCAGCCCUUGACUUACUUGACUUCUUCAAGCAAGGCAGGGGCUUGUUUUCCCAAUUUGGUUGACCCAUGUGUAAUUUCCUUUAAUAGAUGAGGGAAUUUCAAUUUCUUUGACGACAUUUAAGUUGUAUAGGACACCUUUUUGAAUGAAACCUGAUGAAUUAAAUAGAGUUAAAUAACAUUCAAGAGGAGUUUUUUUCUCUGAUAUCUAAUAGUUGUACAUACUUUUGCCAAUUGGGAUUUUGAAGGUGAAACCAGGGGGCAUAGAUAUAGAAAAGAUUGGCUAGCUCUUCACCAAAUCAAUUUCUUUUCUCUCUUGGGAAUGAAGCUGGAUACAUUUUUCAAUGCCCAUUGCAGUUAAUGUGUCCCUAUGACUGAGUUUUAACCAAUGGAGUGUGGGUAGAGUAAUGUGCACCAUUUCCAGGCCUAGGCGUCAAAAGCACCUCACACUCUAUUCAUUCCACAAAUAUUUAUUAAGUGUCCACCAUGUUCCAGGCCCUUGUAAGUGAGUAAAGUGAUGCUGUUGUCAAAAGGAUGUCAACAGAUAGGAUUUAAGAAUAUAAAGUUUCUUUAACGGCAAAGAAUAUAAAAACUUAUUUGCAAAACUCCCCUAACCCCCAAUUCUAGGUGCUUGACAAAUUUAUAGUACAUCUUUACUUUUAACAGCUUUAUAGAGGUAUAAUUUAUGUGCAAAGAAGUACACAUGUUUAAUAUGUUCAAUCUGAUGAGUUUGGACAGUUCCAAAUCCUUGUGAUAACCAUUACCACAAUGAAGUUAAUAGAUAUAUCUAACACCUUCCCUUUUUUUGUGGUAAGGACACUUAACUUGAGAGAUAUCUUCUUAAUAAAUUUUGAAGUGUACAAUAUUUUGUUAACUAUAGGCACUGUGUUGUACAGCAGAUCUCUAGAACUUAUUCAACUAGUAUGACAAACUUUAUAUCCACUGAACAACAACUCUCUGUUUCCAUCUUCACCCCCCACCCCUGGCAACCACUAUUGUAUUCUUUGUUUUCAUGAGUUUGAUUAUUAUGGAUACCUCAUGUGGAGGAAUCAUGCAGUAUUUGUCCUUCAGUGACUGGCUUUUCCUAAAUGAGCAAAGAACUUGAACAGAUGUUUCUCCAAAGAAGACAUGGUAUAUCUUAAUGAGAUUAAUUUAGAAAAGCUGGGAAGACGGGCUCAGGAGGAGGUAAGAGUGGUGAUCUCAAACGAGGACUUAAAAGGACCCUGAGUUUAUUUUCCUUUGCUUUAAUGAGGCUAAUAUCAAAGUGGGAGGGCUCAAACCACAGCAACAAAAAAGAGGAACCAUUGGGUGGCCUUACUGCAGAGUGGGGAUGCUGGGACACCCUGCAAACAACAUGGUAAGGGAGCUGUGGCUCUACGAGGAGGUUGGUUAAGGUUUGGUGGUGAUAAACAACACAGUUUUCUGCACUUAAUAAAUAAGAGCACAAUGUACUGUUAUAUUUGGCAAUUGUUUUAAUGAGGUCUUGUUUUUGUUCAAGCAGUUUCACUGGCAGCUUCGUAUCUUCCUGGAGUCAUGGAAGUCAGGAAAACUUAUUCUUCUCACUAGCUGUAGGCAUCUGUACCUCUUGCUCUGUGUAGCCAUCAUUGUCCCAUUUGUUUCCUCCAUCAGAGGAGUUUCACUGUAUCUGUUGGUGUUUUCUGUCAAACCCCAUUUCCCUUGUGUCCAUUCUCAGCGAUGGUAAAUGAAAC
Papio anubis (olive baboon) is the source of this 2849-nucleotide long non-coding RNA. The record is from Ensembl. Lineage: Eukaryota; Metazoa; Chordata; Mammalia; Primates; Cercopithecidae.